UGGGGAAUAUUGGACAAUGGGCGCAAGCCUGAUCCAGCCAUGCCGCGUGUGUGAAGAAGGCCUUUUGGUUGUAAAGCACUUUAAGCGAGGAGGAGGCUACUUGGAUUAAUACUCUAGGAUAGUGGACGUUACUCGCAGAAUAAGCACCGGCUAACUCUGUGCCAGCAGCCGCGGUAAUACAGAGGGUGCGAGCGUUAAUCGGAUUUACUGGGCGUAAAGCGUGCGUAGGCGGCUUCUUAAGUCGGAUGUGAAAUCCCUGAGCUUAACUUAGGAAUUACAUUCGAUACUGGGAAGCUAGAGUAUGGGAGAGGAUGGUAGAAUUCCAGGUGUAGCGGUGAAAUGCGUAGAGAUCUGGAGGAAUACCGAUGGCGAAGGCAGCCAUCUGGCCUAAUACUGACGCUGAGGUACGAAAGCAUGGGGAGCAAACAGG
This 430-nucleotide ribosomal RNA is filed under the name bacterium. Its description in RNAcentral is "partial 16S ribosomal RNA". It matches the Rfam family "Bacterial small subunit ribosomal RNA", at positions 355 to 776 of the family's 1533-position model. The record is from RNAcentral.